Molecule: non-coding RNA, 714 nt
Organism: Elaeis guineensis (African oil palm)
Lineage: Eukaryota; Viridiplantae; Streptophyta; Magnoliopsida; Arecales; Arecaceae
Source: RefSeq, a predicted model, not a curated record
ACACACACACAUGCGCACACACACACACACACAUGCACACGUAUGUCUGUGUGUGUGCGUGCAUGCCUCUUUUGAAGAGGCAGUGAUGAGGAACCAAUAUCUUUGUGUGAUAUGGAGUAGAGCUCAUUCUUUCUUGGUAUGAUAUUUGGGCCCUGUAGCAACUCUUUCUUUGCAAUGGUGGUGGGGCAGCUUGGAAGGUCUGAUUCUCUGCAGGCAACCGCUGCAGCCACCAGCUGUUUAGAAGAGUGCAGAGAUGAGGAAGAAAGUCGGAUCUCCUCCCUCUUUGCCAUAGUGACGGAUCAAAGGCAACUCUGAGCCUCACUCCCUCCCUUCUCUUUCUUUAUCUGAGGUGAUAUGCAACUGCUGGAUCAUAUGCUGAUUAUUCCUGCAGCCUUUGCUACCUGUAUCCGUUGUCCAAUUGAUCCACCAAUUGGGCGUGGUCCAGGCAAUAAUUUCUCGAAUUGGUGAAAUACAAGGGGUAACGUGGCGUGUUAUUCACCAUGGGAUUUGGCGCGGUCCAAUUGCACCUGGUGCAUGCAAUACGGAGGCAUGUUGGUAGAACGGUUCUAACCAAUAAUUUCUAACAGAGGGCAGAUGGGAUUGGGAAGUAUUGGCGGAAGGGCCGGUGGCUUUAUUCUCGCAGAAGCUGCCCCCUUCUGCUCCUCUCCCUAGCAGAUGAUCCUUAAUCCUCACCAUUCUCUCUCUCUCUCUCUC